GCCUCGGUAGCUAAGCCUGGCAUAGCAGCAGCCUCGUAAGCUGCGGGUCGCGGGUUCAAAUCCCGCCCGAGGCUCCA
This 77-nucleotide transfer RNA is filed under the name Nitrososphaeria archaeon. Its description in RNAcentral is "tRNA-Thr". It matches the Rfam family "tRNA". From Rfam's summary of the family: Transfer RNA (tRNA) molecules are approximately 80 nucleotides in length. Their secondary structure includes four short double-helical elements and three loops (D, anti-codon, and T loops). The record is from RNAcentral. Lineage: Archaea; Thermoproteati; Nitrososphaerota; Nitrososphaeria. RNAcentral also lists the same sequence under 2 other names.